UGGCGGUGCGUCUUAGACAUGCAAGUCGAGCGAGAAAGCCCGCAAGGGUGAGUAAAGCGGCGAACGGGUGAGUAAUACUUGGGUAACGUGCCUCCGAGAUCGGGACAACAUGCCGAAAGGCGUGCUAAUACCGGAUAAGACCACAGCGGCUGCGGCCGCAGAGGUCAAAGAUGGCGCAAGCUAUCACUUGGAGAUCGGCUCAAGCACCAUUAGCUAGUUGGCGGGGUAACAGCCCACCAAGGCUACGAUGGUUGGUCGACCUGAGAGGUACGGCCCAUGACUGGAUUCGUCAAUCCUACGGAGCAGCAGUGGAAUAUCCCAAUGGGCGAAGCUGAUGGAGCGACACGGCUGAGAUGAGGUCUCGAUGUAAACUCCUUUAGGGCUAGAUGAGUCUGGGUGAAUAAUCCCGGAACUUGACAGUAUAGGCAGAAUAAGCCACGGCUAACUCUGUGCCGGCAGCGCGGUAAUACAGAGGUGGCUAACGUUGUCCGGAAUUACUGGGUGUAAAGGGUCCGCAGGCUGUCCUGUAAGUCAAAGGUGAAAUGAUACGGCUUAACCGUGUCACUGCCUUUGAUACUGCAGGACUUGAGUACGGAAGAGGAGAGUGGAAUUCCCUGUGUAGCGGUGAAAUGCGUAGAUAUAGGGAAGAACACCGGUGGCGAAGGCGGCUCUCUGGUCCGAUACUGACGCUCAGGGACGAAAGCCAGGGGAGCAAACGGGAUUAGAUACCCCGGUAGUCCUGGCCGUAAACGAUGAGAACUAGGUGUUAGGGGUAUCCACUCCUCUAGUGCCGCAGCUAACGCAUUAAGUUCUCCACCUGGGGACUACGGCCGCAAGGCUGAAACUCAAAGAAAUUGACGGGGGCCCGCACAAGCAGUGGAGCAUGUGGUUCAAUUCGACGCAACGCGAAGAACCUUACCUGGGUUUGACAUCCGCUGACCGACUAUGAAAGUAGUCCUUCCCGCAAGGGACAGCGAGACAGUGCUGCAUGCUGUCGUCAGCUCGUGUCGUGAGAUGUUGGUUUAGGUCCCGCAACGAGCGCAACCUUGUCUUUAGUUGCCAUCGGUCAAGGCUGGCACUCUAGAGAGACUGCCGGUGACAAACGUAGGAGGUUGGGGAUGACGUCAGUCCUCAUGCCUUAUGUCCAGGGCUACACAUGUGCUACAAUGGCGGAUACAAAGGGUUGCGAACCCGCGAGGGGGAGCUAAUCCCAAAAAGUCCGUCCCAGUUCGGAUUGGAGUCUGCAAUUCGACUCCAUGAAGCCGGAAUUGCUAGUAAUCGCGGAUCAGAACGCCGCGGUGAAUACGUUCCCGGGCCUUGUACACACCGCCCGUCAAGUCACGAAAGCCAGUUGCACCAGAAGCGAUUGGGCUAACCCGCAAGGGAGGCAGGUCGCUAAGGUAUGAUUGGUGAUUGGGACUAAGUCGUAACAAGGUAACC
RNAcentral lists this ribosomal RNA (1440 nucleotides) under uncultured microorganism. RNAcentral's name for it is "16S ribosomal RNA". It matches the Rfam family "Bacterial small subunit ribosomal RNA". The record is from RNAcentral.